Molecule: ribosomal RNA, 484 nt
Filed under: uncultured bacterium
Lineage: Bacteria
Description: partial 16S ribosomal RNA
Rfam family: Bacterial small subunit ribosomal RNA
Source: RNAcentral
AUUGAACGCUGGCGGCAGGCCUAACACAUGCAAGUCGAGCGGAUGAAGGGAGCUUGCUCCUGGAUUCAGCGGCGGACGGGUGAGUGAUGCCUAGGAAUCUGCCUGGUAGUGGGGGAUAACGUCCGGAAACGGGCGCUAAUACCGCAUACGUCCUGAGGGAGAAAGUGGGGGAUCUUCGCACCUCACGCUAUCAGAUGAGCCUAGGUCGGAUUAGCUAGUUGGUGGGGUAAAGGCCUACCAAGGCGACGAUCCGUAACUGGUCUGAGAGGAUGAUCAGUCACACUGGAACUGAGACACGGUCCAGACUCCUACGGGAGGCAGCAGUGGGGAAUAUUGGACAAUGGGCGAAAGCCUGAUCCAGCCAUGCCGCGUGUGUGAAGAAGGUCUUCGGAUUGUAAAGCACUUUAAGUUGGGAGGAAGGGCAGUAAGUUAAUACCUUGCUGUUUUGACGUUACCAACAGAAUAAGCACCGGCUAACUUCGUG